RNAcentral lists this long non-coding RNA (215 nucleotides) under Prunus persica (peach). RNAcentral describes it as "long non-coding RNA (PPER_LNC003828)". Lineage: Eukaryota; Viridiplantae; Streptophyta; Magnoliopsida; Rosales; Rosaceae. The record is from RNAcentral.
GCUGUAGUUCGUAAAUAGACAAUUAAACAAGAAGUGUAAAAACGAAAAAACCAUACGGAAAUAGAUAUAAAUUUUCUAUUAUUUAAUAAUCUUUAUUAUUUUCAGUAAUUUCACAGAAAGCUAGAUGCAGUUCAAAAAAUUUAUUAACACAUGGUGAGGGAAGAAUGGUAAAUGGGCUGUCUCAUAAUUUAUUGCGACAAGAUGAGCUGAGGCCA